RNAcentral lists this ribosomal RNA (647 nucleotides) under Streptomyces sp. RNAcentral's name for it is "bacterial SSU rRNA". It matches the Rfam family "Bacterial small subunit ribosomal RNA", at positions 97 to 757 of the family's 1533-position model. Lineage: Bacteria; Bacillati; Actinomycetota; Actinomycetes; Kitasatosporales; Streptomycetaceae. The record is from RNAcentral.
GGCGAACGGGUGAGUAACACGUGGGCAAUCUGCCCUGCACUCUGGGACAAGCCCUGGAAACGGGGUCUAAUACCGGAUAUGACUGCCGACCGCAUGGUCUGGUGGUGGAAAGCUCCGGCGGUGCAGGAUGAGCCCGCGGCCUAUCAGCUUGUUGGUGGGGUGAUGGCCUACCAAGGCGACGACGGGUAGCCGGCCUGAGAGGGCGACCGGCCACACUGGGACUGAGACACGGCCCAGACUCCUACGGGAGGCAGCAGUGGGGAAUAUUGCACAAUGGGCGCAAGCCUGAUGCAGCGACGCCGCGUGAGGGAUGACGGCCUUCGGGUUGUAAACCUCUUUCAGCAGGGAAGAAGCGCAAGUGACGGUACCUGCAGAAGAAGCGCCGGCUAACUACGUGCCAGCAGCCGCGGUAAUACGUAGGGCGCAAGCGUUGUCCGGAAUUAUUGGGCGUAAAGAGCUCGUAGGCGGCUUGUCGCGUCGGAUGUGAAAGCCCGGGGCUUAACUCCGGGUCUGCAUUCGAUACGGGCAGGCUAGAGUUCGGUAGGGGAGAUCGGAAUUCCUGGUGUAGCGGUGAAAUGCGCAGAUAUCAGGAGGAACACCGGUGGCGAAGGCGGAUCUCUGGGCCGAUACUGACGCUGAGGAGCGAA